UACGGGGGGGGCAAGCGUUGUUCGGAAUUACUGGGCGUAAAGGGUGCGCAGGCGGCGUCGCAAGUCAGGCGUGAAAUCCCCGGGCUUAACCUGGGAACUGCACUUGAAACUACGAUGCUGGAGUAUGGCAGAGGGAGGUGGAAUGCUUGGUGUAGAGGUGAAAUUCGUAGAUAUCAAGCGGAACACCGGUGGCGAAGGCGGCCUUCUGGACAGUGACUGACGCUGAGACGCGAAAGCGUGGGGAGCAAACAGG
RNAcentral lists this ribosomal RNA (253 nucleotides) under uncultured bacterium. Its description in RNAcentral is "partial 16S ribosomal RNA". It matches the Rfam family "Bacterial small subunit ribosomal RNA", at positions 524 to 776 of the family's 1533-position model. The record is from RNAcentral.